ACGUAGGCCGAGAGAUAGGCAAAUCCGUCUCUCAUAUAAGGCUGAGAUCUGAUGCAUAGCCCUCACGGGCGAAUUCGGUGAUCCUAUGCUGCCAAGAAAAGCAUAGACGCGAGGUUCAAGUCACCCGUACCCCAAACCGACUCAGGUGGUCAGGUAGAGAAUACCAAGGAGAUCGAGAGAAUCGUGGUUAAGGAACUCGGCAAAAUGCCCCCGUAACUUCGGGAGAAGGGGGCCUGAGGCGUGAAGGGAUUUACUCCUGGAGCGUUUGAUGGCCGCAGAGACCAGUGGGAAGCGACUGUUUACUAAAAACACAGGUCCGUGCUAAGUCGCAAGACGAUGUAUACGGACUGACGCCCCCCGGUGCUGGAAGGUUAAGAGGAACGGUUAGCCGCAAGGCGAAGCUGAGAAUUUAAGCCCCAGUAAACGGCGGUGGUAACUAUAACCAUCCUAAGGUAGCGAAAUUCCUUGUCGGGUAAGUUCCGACCUGCACGAAUGGCGUAACGACUUCCCAGCUGUCUCAACCGCGAACUCGGCGAAAUUGCACUACGAGUAAAGAUGCUCGUUACGCGCAGAAGGACGAAAAGACCCCGUGACCUUUACUAUAGCUUUGUAUUGGUGUUCGGUGUGGCUUGUGUAGGAUAGGUGGGAGACUGUGAAGCUUGGACGCUAGUUCAGGUGGAGUCAUUGUUGAAAUACCACUCUGGUCACUCUGGAUAUCUAACUUCGAACCGUGAUCCGGUUCAGGGACAGUGCAUGGUGGGUAGUUUAACUGGGGCGGUUGCCUCCCAAAAAGUAACGGAGGCGCCCGAAGGUUCCCUCAACCUGGUUGGCAAUCAGGUGUCGAGUGUAAGUGCACAAGGGAGCUUGACUGUGAGACUGACAAGUCGAGCAGGGACGAUUCGGGACUAGUGAUCCGGCAGUGGCUUGUGGAAGCGCUGUCGCUCAACGGAUAAAAGGUACCUCGGGGAUAACAGGCUGAUCUUGCCCAAGAGUCCAUAUCGACGGCAUGGUUUGGCACCUCGAUGUCGGCUCGUCGCAUCCUGGGGCUGGAGUAGGUCCCAAGGGUUGGGCUGUUCGCCCAUUAAAGCGGAACGCGAGCUGGGUUUAGAACGUCGUGAGACAGUUCGGUCCCUAUCCUCUGCGCGCGCAGGAAAUUUGAGAAGAGCUAUCCCUAGUACGAGAGGACCGGGAUGGACGAACCUCUGGUGUGUCAGUUGUUCCGCCAGGAGCACCGCUGAUUAGCUACGUUCGGAACGGAUAACCGCUGAAAGCAUCUAAGCGGGAAGCCGGCUUCAAGAUGAGAUUUCCAUGACUUCGGUCGAGAGGCUCCCAGCUAGACUACUGGGUUGAUAGGCGGGAUGUGGAAGCGAGGACUAAAGACUCGUGGAGCUGACCCGUACUAAUAAGCC
RNAcentral lists this ribosomal RNA (1409 nucleotides) under metagenome. RNAcentral describes it as "bacterial LSU rRNA". It matches the Rfam family "Bacterial large subunit ribosomal RNA", at positions 1518 to 2910 of the family's 2925-position model. The record is from RNAcentral.